GCAACCGUGUCCGAGUGGUCUAAGGAGCUGCACUCAAGUUGCAGUGUUUGUAAAAACGCGCGCGUUCAAAUCGCGCCGGUUGCA
This is a non-coding RNA of Mayamaea pseudoterrestris, 84 nucleotides long. The record is from the annotation of a GenBank genome assembly. NCBI's taxonomy places the organism in Eukaryota, Bacillariophyta, Bacillariophyceae, Sellaphorales, Sellaphoraceae.